UAAGAAACCCUAACUGAAUCUUUUUCUUCACCCACAUUACAUUGAGCUUCUGUUCUCUUCUGUUUUUCCAUUCAAAUAUAUUCAUUCACCUCAUUUUCUUAUUGAAGAGAUAUCUUUGUUUGCUUGGUCACAAAGGGAGGAAAAACAACCUGUCGAUACGUUUGGGUUCUUGUGAGAGGAGGGAAAGCAAAAAACUUUGCUAGUUUUAAGGUUUGUCAUAUGUCAAUUCUUCAUUCAUUAAUCUUCUCAAGUUUGUAUAAUCAUGAGC
This 268-nucleotide long non-coding RNA is filed under the name Nicotiana benthamiana. Its description in RNAcentral is "long non-coding RNA (NBEN_LNC013682)". The record is from RNAcentral. Lineage: Eukaryota; Viridiplantae; Streptophyta; Magnoliopsida; Solanales; Solanaceae.